GACGUAGGGCGCGAGCGUUGUCCGGAUUUAUUGGGCGUAAAGAGCUCGUAGGCGGCUUGUCGCGUCGUCCGUGAAAACCUGCAGCUCAACUGCAGGCUUGCGGUCGAUACGGGCAGGCUCGAGUUCGGUAGGGGAGACUGGAAUUCCUGGUUGUAGCGGUGAAAUACGGCAGAUAUCAGGAGGAACACCGAUGGCGUAGGCAGGUCUCUGGGCCACUACUGACGCUGAGAAGCGAAAGCAUGGGGAGCGAACAGG
This 255-nucleotide ribosomal RNA is filed under the name uncultured bacterium. RNAcentral describes it as "partial 16S ribosomal RNA". It matches the Rfam family "Bacterial small subunit ribosomal RNA", at positions 524 to 776 of the family's 1533-position model. The record is from RNAcentral.